AAAGAACCCACUGCAGGGCGCCCAGCCACCUGCCCAGUGAAAAGACUGUAAUCAGACAACUUUAAUAAAGGGAGAGCAGGAGAGUGGCGACGAAUUUCCACAUUCCGAACAAGCUUGUCGAAAGGGGAGUGUAGGGAAGGAGCAAGAAUGAGGCACUGGAAGACGGCUGUAGGCGCAUGAUGUUACAAGUUAUUGGAAGAAAUCCCUCCAACCUAGGUUGGGACAGAUGAAGGCGGCGCUUAUUGGUGUCCACCAAAACACCAGCAUGGUGUACCAGCUUUGGCUAGAUUAUGCUCGGGAAAACACAGAUCCUGGUGCCGAACAUGAGGACAAGACAGGCCGAAGGAGAAAGUGGAAGGAGGGGAUCUUCUCUCUCAGCCUCAUCCUCCUGGGCCUGGAUGCUGGAGAGUCAUGAGGUGCUUCAGAGUACUCUGGGUGAGGAGGGAAAGAUGGUGCCCACCACAUGGAGGCCAGCCUAGGUCUUGUAUGAAACCCGUGAGGAGAUUCUCUCUCCCUUGCUGGCUUUGAAAAAGCAAGUUGCCAUGUGAAGAGGGCCAUAUAGCACAGGAGCUGAAGGCGGCCUCCAACUGACAGCAAGAAAAUGCGGUCCUCAAUCUGACAACUUGCAAGAAACUGAAUGCUCUAAAAGCCACAUGAGCUUGAGAGCGGAUCUGACCCCAGCCAAAUCUCUGAAGUCCACAGGCAGGAAAUGAAGAUCAGAAAAAGGCUAUUGUCUCAUGAAUAUAAGCCAGACUCCACAGAAGCUGGAGUCCUUCAUUAUGGAGCUAAACACAUACACCUGGCU
RNAcentral lists this non-coding RNA (805 nucleotides) under Pongo abelii (Sumatran orangutan). The record is from RNAcentral. Lineage: Eukaryota; Metazoa; Chordata; Mammalia; Primates; Hominidae.